AAUUGACACGGUUAAAUUGUGGAUGAACAUGGAUGUAAUGUUUUUGUUUUCCUUUUCAUUUUAUGUUUAAAUAAGUUUUUUAUUGUGAAAAAGUGUUUUGUUUGAGUGAUUGAACUGAUGGCGCUUUAAAUAAAUUGGAUGUUAUUGUAUAGAAUUCGAAGUAAUUAAUUCAGCGAAGGAGUGCCAUAAAAUUCCACCGUACAAUUUACUUUUGGAAGGUGAUCGGAUAUCAGUACGAUGUAAUAUAAGGAAAAUAUUCAACAAAUGGACAAUAUGGAAUGA
RNA transcript from Zeugodacus cucurbitae (melon fly), 282 nucleotides. RefSeq lists it as uncharacterized. The transcript has 3 exons. Lineage: Eukaryota; Metazoa; Arthropoda; Insecta; Diptera; Tephritidae. The record is from RefSeq and is a predicted model, not a curated record.